Molecule: ribosomal RNA, 429 nt
Filed under: Bacillota bacterium
Lineage: Bacteria; Bacillati; Bacillota
Description: Firmicutes bacterium partial 16S ribosomal RNA
Rfam family: Bacterial small subunit ribosomal RNA
Source: RNAcentral
UAGGGAAUCUUCCGCAAUGGACGAAAGUCUGACGGAGCAACGCCGCGUGAGUGAAGAAGGUCUUCGGAUCGUAAAACUCUGUUAUCAGGGAAGAACAAGUACCGGAGUUACUGCCGGUACCUUGACGGUACCUGACCAGAAAGCCACGGCUAACUACGUGCCAGCAGCCGCGGUAAUACGUAGGUGGCAAGCGUUGUCCGGAAUUAUUGGGCGUAAAGCGCGCGCAGGCGGUUCUUUAAGUCUGAUGUGAAAUCUUGCGGCUCAACCGUGAGCGGUCAUUGGAAACUGGAGAACUUGAGUGCAGAAGAGAAGAGCGGAAUUCCACGUGUAGCGGUGAAAUGCGUAGAGAUGUGGGGGAACACCAGUGGCGAAGGCGGCUCUUUGGUCUGUAACUGACGCUGAGGCGCGAAAGCGUGGGGAGCGAACAGG